This is a long non-coding RNA of Passer domesticus (house sparrow), 488 nucleotides long. RefSeq lists it as uncharacterized. NCBI's taxonomy places the organism in Eukaryota, Metazoa, Chordata, Aves, Passeriformes, Passeridae. The transcript has 3 exons. The record is from RefSeq and is a predicted model, not a curated record.
CCGCUGUGUUUGCACACUCUUCACCUUGCUCCUGCCCACUCUGCUUGUCACCUGCCCCCUGAUAACCCCAUCACUCCUGAAAGAUCCUUAGUGCCUGGAUUUUGUCAUCCAGCCCUGCAGGAUGCUCCCAUUUGUCCUGAGGAAGGCUGUCCCAGACAGAGAGGAGGAGAUGGAGGUGGAUGUGGAGGUGGAAGAAGAGAUGGAGGUGGAUGUGGAGGUGGAAGAAGAGAUGGAGGUUGAUAUGGACGAGUCCAUUGAGGACAUGGACAUUGAUUAAAAAGGUGCGAUGGACAUCACAGAGACACCACCCUUUUGUAUAUAUGUUCUACAGUUUGUUGUUUUUCUUUAGAAUAUAGAUCAUAGGGCUAUUUUUGACUUCUGUAAAUACGUUUCCCAUAGUUUUGCUAGGUAGGUUUUUAUGUAUAUAUGUUCUAUCGAUUGUUGUUGUUAUAAAUAUUCUUACAAUGUAAAUGUGUUCUGUAUUUUUG